Molecule: long non-coding RNA, 19032 nt
Filed under: Zea mays
Lineage: Eukaryota; Viridiplantae; Streptophyta; Magnoliopsida; Poales; Poaceae
Description: long non-coding RNA (ZMAY_LNC003438)
Source: RNAcentral
CUAAUUCUAGACCAGAAGAUCUUCUCAUGUUGGAUAUCAGAAAUAAAAUGGGUGAUCUUUCGGGAGGGAGUGCCAGUAGCACCAGUUCAUCGUCUUUUUUGUCUUGCAAUUCUAGUCUACACUCUCAUUUUGGGACUCCCUCGUCCUCUUCCUCUGUCAAUCAACCAUCGCCAUUAGCAUCCUCUUCCUCUGUCAAUCAACCCUCGCCAUUAGCAUCCUUUUCUGUGAACCAGCCAUCCCCUUCUUCCGUGAAAGGAGUAUUCUUAACGGACAGUGGUACUCCCUCUUCCUCUUCGUCCGUAAAUCGGCCAUCCCCAAACCCGACCGAUGAAAGGGUCGUAGAAUAUCAAGGGGCUAUACGCGAGGAAAUGGCCAAAUUAAUGCCCGGCAGGGAUCACCAAGAGAUUCUAGUUGCAGCCGAACGAAUACAUGGUGGGAGUGCUAAUAUAGGAUUUCUUCGAUCACAGCUCCGGGAUUUAGUAGCAAAUGGCACUGAAAGUGAAGCCUUCAAGUAUGGAAUAGCUGAGCUAGCGAAUGAGAAUUUAGCGGCAAAUUUCGCUGCGAUGCAUUUAGCGGAGAGUCCUUUGGCUCACCCCACAUAUGUUUCCUUGCCAUAGAUCACAUUCUCGGAUUUCUGGUGGAGACCAUUUCUUGGUCAAAAAUUCGUAGGUGCUAGCCUUCGGUAUUACUGAAAAUGGUCGUUCAUGGCUAUGUUCGACAAAAAUGGGGGUUGUGUGGCCAUUGAUAAUCGACCAGAGGCUUGUACACCUCACCCCACAUAUAUUUCCUUCCCAUAUAUCACAUUCUUGGAUUUCUGGUGGAGACCAUUUCUUGCUCGAAAAUCCGAAUAUGUUAGCCUUCGGUACUAUUAAAAAUGGUCGUUCAUGGCUAUUUUCCACAAAAAUGGGGGUUGUGUGGCCAUUGAUCUUCGACCAAAGGCUCAUACACCUCACUGCACAUAUGUUUCCUUGCCCUAGAUCAUAUUCUUGGAUUUAUGUUGGAUACCAUUUCUUGGUCAAAAUCCGUAGGUGUUAGCCUUCAGUGUCAUUGAAAAUGGUCGUUCAUGGCUAUUUUCGACAAAAAUGGGGGUUGUGUGGCCAUUGAUCAUCAACUAGAGGCUCGUACACCUCACCCCACAUAUGUUUCCUUGCCAUAGAUCACAUUCUUGGAUUUCUGGUGGAGACCAUUUCUUGGUCAAAAAUCUGUAGGUGUUAGCCUUCGGUAUUAUUCAAAAUGGUCGUUCAUGGCUAUUUUCGACAAAAAUGGGGGUUGUGUGGCCAUUUAUCAUCGACCAGAGGCUCAUACACCUCACCCCACAUAUGUUUCCUUCCCAUAGAUCACAUUCUUGGAUUUCUUGUGGAUACCAUUUCUUGGUCAAAAAUUCGUAGGUGUUAGCCUUCGGUAUUAUUGAAAAUGGUCGUUCAUGGCUAUUUUUGACAAAAAUGGGGGUUGUGUGGCCAUUGAUCAUCGACCAGAGGCUCGUACACCUCACCCCACAUAUGUGUCCUUGCCAUAGAUCACAUUAUUGGAUUUCUGGUGGAGUCCAUUUGUUGGUCAAAAAUCCAUAGGUGUUAGCCUUCGGUAUUAUUGAAAAUGGUCAUUCAUGGCUAUUUUCGACCAAAAUGUGGGUUGUGUGGCCAUUUAUCAUCAACCAGAGGCUCAUACACCUCACCCCACAUAUGUUUCCUUGCCUUAGAUCACAUUCUUGGAUUUCUGGUGGAGACCAUUUCUUGGUCAAAAAUCCAUAUGUGUUAGCCUUCGGUAUUACUGAAAAUGGUUGUUCAUGGCUAUUUUCGACAAAAAUGGGGGUUGUGUGGCCAUUGAUCAUCGACCAGAGCCUCGUACACCUCACCCCACAUAUGUUUCCUUGCCAUAGAUCACAUUCUUGGAUUUCUGGUGAAGACCAUUUCUUGGUCAAAAAUCCGAAUGUGUUAGCCUUUGGUAUUAUUGAAAAUGGUCGUUCUUGGCUAUUUUCGACAAAAAUGGGGGUUGUGUGGCCAUUGAUCUUCGACUAGAGGCUCAUACACCUCACUACACAUAGGUUUUAUUGCCAUAGAUCACAUUCUUGGAUUUAUGGUGGAGACCAUUUCUUGGUCAAAAAUCCGUAGGUGUUAGCCUUCAGUGUCAUUGAAAAUGGUCGUUCAUGGCUAUUUUCGACAAAAAUGUGGGUUGUGUGGCCAUUGCGCACCGGACAGGCUACAGUAGCUGUCCGGUGGCGCACCGGACUGUCCGGUGCGCUGCUCGGCAGAAGGCAAGGAUGUCCUUCAAAGUUUGCCUCCAAAGGCUCCUAGCUGCCUUGGGGCUAUAAAAGGGACCCCUAGGCGCAUGGAGGAGACAUCUAAGCAUUCACUAAGCAUUCUAAGACUCUCACACUCCGCCACCGCGCAUUUGAUCGAUUGUGUUAGUGAUUUGAGCUCCGUUCGAGUUGUGAACUCUCUGUGCUACGUUUCGAGCUCAAGUCUUGGCUUGUGUGCGUGUGUGUGCUGUGGAUUUGUGUCUUGUGUUUGUUGCUCUCCCAACCUUACUCUGUGCUUUCAUUGUGAUCUGUAUUGUAAGGGCGAGAGACUCCAAGUUGUGGAGAUUCCUCGCAAAUAGGAAAAUACACUAAAAGAAAGUCGUGGUAUUCAAGUUGAUCAUUGGAUCGCUUUGAAAGGGGUUGAGUGCAACCCUCGUCCAUUGGGACGCCACAACGUGAAAGUAGGCAAGUGUUACUUGGCCGAACCACGGGAUAAAAAUCGAGUGUCUCUUGUGUUACCUUCUUUGUGAUUGUUUUAUCCACAAGAACUCGCUUCAAAACUACUUAGUCGCGCUAACACUUUAAUAACUAAGUUUUGUGGCUAUUUAGUGAUUGAUUUUACAGGAUCACCUAUUCACCCCCUCUAGGUGCUCUCAAUUGGUAUCAGAGCCGUACUCUUCACUUAAGGGACUAACCGCCCGAAGAGAUGGAUCCUAAGGGAAAGGGCAUGGUGGUCAACGACAAGGAAAAGGAGUCCGUCUUCAACGUGCCAAGAGAUGACAAGCCUACCGACUCAGGCUCGAGUCACAAGAAAAGAGACGAGAAGAAGAGGCGCAUCAAGAAGAUCAUCUACUACGACAGCGAUGCCUCAUCUUCUUCACCACAUGACGACAACGACUCCUCGUCAAAGAAGAAAACGGUUAAUCAAAACUAUUCAUUUGAUUAUUCCCAUAUUCCGUACAAUUCUAAUGCUCAUUUGCUAUCAAUUCCACUUGGGAACCCCCCCCCCACUUUGAUGGAGAAGACUAUUCUUUCUGGAGUCAUAAAAUGCGUAGCCAUUUAUUUUCUCUCCAUCCUAGCAUCUGGGAAAUUGUUGAAAACAGAAUGCACUUUGAUAGUACUGACAAUGUCAUUUUUAUAAAUGAGCAAAUUCAUAAGAAUGCCCAAGCUACUACUGUGUUGCUAGCAUCUCUUUGCAAGGAUGAGUACAAUAAGGUGAGUGGCUUGGACAAUGCCAAGCAAAUCUGGGACACCCUUAAGAUAUCUCAUGAGGGAAACGACGUGUCACACCCGGGUUUUAGGGGCACCAAGACCCGGGCGUGAACAUAAACACCAGAUAUGCUGGGACCAAGUCUCACACAUAUGAUGUAUAGUGGCACAGGAUCGAAUGUCACAUCUUUAUAUAUAACAGGAGUUCUAUACAAAAUAAAUAAUUACAAUAUAAGGAGACAACGGCCCAGCAACCCAAAGUUGACUGGGAGACGACGGCCUAGACCUCUCACGAACACAUCGCAGCAUCCUCCAAGCGCCUCAUCCUGCGGUACCUGUUCUUGACCUGUGGGGGUGUGAGACAGCAAGAGUGAGCUCACAUACGUUCAUCGCUCAACAAGUUGUGGGGAAUAAUGUGUAUGAACUCGCCAAAGGUGGGAGCUCAUGUGAAGUGUAAGGCUUACCAAAGAGGAUGGCUGAAGCUGAGCAUUGCUUUUAAAGUUGGUCAAAAUUUUAUUAGCCAUUACUAAGUAUAAGUAAAUACCAACCCAAUUAAAUAGUAGAACAUAAGUAACAACAUCACCUGCGAUGCAAUGCAUAUGACAAAUUGAAUUUAAGUUCCAUAGAUUAAUCAUGUGAGUGUCCGAGCUGCUCAUGACCGUGAGCACGGCUAGUAUACCAGUUUUACACUCUGCAGAGGUUGCGCAUCUUUACCCACAAGUCAUGUUACCCAUCUGCCAAGGGAUCGCGACUUCCCAUACACCUCUACUGAGGAGGCGAGGCAGGGUAACACUACGAGGCCUUUACAAAGUUCCACUAGCUUCAGAAAACCGGCUACAGUUUAUAGGAAGCUCCAAUGCAGGAAUCCCUUGCAGGACCGCCAUCGCAGCAAAAUCCUCCCGAGGGCCUCCCUACACUGACCACUCCCCUACUGCCCUUGCCCCUUUCGGGUAAGGUAGUCUUCCACUAGCUUUCCUAAUUAAUCGGCCAAGGGCGUCCCAUUAAACCCUUGUGGUAGCACUGUUUUCCCGGGUGGUUCUCCAUGUUCCAAUUAACAUAAUGAUCUUAUCAUGAACAGUAAAUAGCAACUGAUAACAAAAGUAUGAAUAAUAUGUAUCUCAAUGCCCAAAUCCACAUAUAGCACUAGCAAGUACUACCCAGAAAGUUUAGUGGUAAACAAGGCAUAAAGAUAGACAAACUAGGGUAACCUAUUAGGUCCCAUCAAAUUAACCUAUGCAGAUCAUUAUGAUUAAUUAGAACAUGAGUGGGUAAAAGAAGUGAUCAAGGGCACAACUUGCCUGGGACUUGAGAUUCCAGGUACAAGGAUGAUCUUCAGGUGACUCGUGACCUCACGCUAGUCGUAGCAAUACAAACAAAUAUGGUAUAGGCAAAAUUAACAUCACACCAAACAUGAGAACAAACUGCAUAAUAAUAAUGUACGCGUUGCUAUGAGACUAACGCAACUUGAAUGGAUCAAAUCAGAUUUAAAACGGAGGAGUUAUGAUUUUCUGAAGAUUCUGUGUGUUUUGUAUAAGAUUAAAUGGGAUAUAAAUUUUAAUGUGACUUUCAUGUCAAAACAGUGGUACUAGAUGAUAUACAAUAAUAUUACAAAAUUAUAGGAAUUGGAACGGAUUAAUUUGGGCUUAAUAUGAAUUUUCUAUGAAUUUAUCAAGUUCUAGUAAUUAUUUUCAUAUUAAAAAUCCAUUUAUAAAUUAUUUUCUCUGAUUUACCUAGUCCUCGGACUGCGUGCGUCAAUACACAGAAAACCAGGGGCUAGCGCAAAAAGUACCCAAGGCUCAGGACCUACCCGCGGUGGAUUGCGGGUUAUUUUUCUAGAAACCGAGGGUUCUAUUUGCAAGGUGGCGCGACCGAAGGGGUAUCCUAAGCUCCCAACCGUUGGAUCGGAUCCGAGGGACCAGAUUAGUUUGCGUUGCGGUAAGUGAUGAAGCGAUCCUAACCGUUGGUAUCUGGAUCCACGGCCUGAAAUCACCCACGCCAAAAAUCUCACCCAAACCGAUCGAUCGCAAUCCAAAGGUUCCUGUUAUCUCUAUCCAAAGCGUUACGCAUGAUAUAAUCUCGGCCGCCCAUUAAGAUCUAACGGUCUCCGAGCCCACAGCCGAUCCGGUUUGGUAUGACUUAAUCUAGGCCGUUCAUCGCGGAGUCAAGGGCCACCGCAUCGCCCCCAACCACACCCCGGCUGAGCAGAGCAGCGACGCCCGAGCUCCCGACGGCGCAUCGCUGGAGCGGCUUCAAUCCGGCGCCCUGACGCGCCAUACCCGAAAUCGCAUAGUGCAAAACAGUGUAUAGAUUAAGGCGGAACACAGGGAGUAGCCCUUACCGGCGAUAGUGGCGCGGGACUCACCACCCACAUGGAUAGGUGAUCCGCGGUGGUGAUUCAGCUCCGACGAGCAAUGGCGGUGGCGGCUCCAAGUCCUCUGUGCUCUCGGUGCCGUGCUUGUUUGCGAGGACCAGGGGGUCGCACGCAUGGUUUAUAUCGCCUCAAGGAUUCGUGAUGGCCGACGGAUUACGCGGAGCCCAACCACCCAGCAAACGCGCGAAGGUCGGUGAUGGCGGAGUCCGAUUUGCCGGGGAUCUCGGCGAGCAGUUGGGGAAAGAUGGAGCUGACGCCCUGGGCCCACGAAGCACGGAUGACGGAGGGUUGUUGGGGGAAGAAGUUGUUAUGUGCCCAGAUUCCAGAAGCACGAGGCGAGCACACGCAAAACCACCAAUCGAGAUUCCGUUGAGAUCUCCAUGGAAAUAAUCUGGAGAAGGGAGCCAUGAGCGCUGGGCAAGCGGAUGGGUCUGACAGGCAUACCCCGAGGUCACGGGAGAAUCCAAACGGACUCCCCGGCGGUCAGUGAGCUAAUCCCGGGCUUCCCGGAACAGUCCGCGCGGAGGUGCGCUCCGGCGAUCUCGGCCGGUUUGUUUGCAACCACCACGCGCAGCGGAGGGGAUAGGCCUGACAUGCAGGGCCCACCGGCAGCGAAAGCUUGUUGGACGGGGGUGGGAUUGGAGUGAGGCUGGCAGUAGCGGCCCACCGGUCAGUGAGGCAGACAAAUGUCGCGUGACAGCAAGGGAAAUGAGAGGAGGGCGGGAGCAGGCCGGUCCAGAAGAGAGGUAAGAUUGGGCCGAAUUCGGACCCAGAGACACAAGGCCAGUGUUAUCCCCAUUUCUUUUUCUUUUCUAUUAUCUUUUCUAUUUCUAAUUCAGAUAUCACAUUCAAAUUCAAAUCCCUGUUUAUAUUUUCGGAUUUCAACUUUCAAUCUAUAAUUCUAAUGUAAAGAUGAAUCCUAUUUCCAUUAUUAUUUAUUAUUCUACCUAUUAUUUAGUUACAAAUGGCUUGAUUAGGAUUUCCUUUCUUAUUUUCUAUUUUAUAUUUUCAUUUAUGAGUUGAGGCCAAAUUAAGUUAUGAUUUUCUUUAUUCAAAUAAAAUGCAUUACAAAAAUAACAUGAGCAUGGGAUGCACUUUCAUUUAUUUAAUUAUUGGUCACUUGACUAUUUUACUAUCUUAAUUGAUUACAAAAGAAAAGGUCCUAAUAAUUUUCAAAGGUGACAAAAAAAAUUCUAGAAUUACUAUCAUAAGUAUAUUUUUAUUUUUCUUCUUUAUUUCAUUAUUUUUUUCCUUGUUACCGAUUUUGGGCUUCACAAAUCCUACCCCCUUAAGAGAAAUCUCGUCCUCGAGAUUAGUAAGAAAGGGAUACAACCAGUUUGGUUUAGGAAUCAAAAGUUUUGUUUCAAGUUUUUUUUAUACUUGCUAGUAGAUGAUUUGGAAAAUAUAGAUAUAUAUGUCUAGCCAUCUAUUAUGUCAUAUGAGGUACAAUUAUGGCAAGUAUAGGUUGUGGCAAGGAAGAGUAUAAUAAGGAAAGACUUCAUCCUGAACUAUGGAUCUUGAUUCUGCUAGCGACUCAACUUGAUCUUUGAAGUCUUGAGUUGAUGCUUAUCCUUCUUUGACGUGGUUGGUCUCUUUUGGCCUUUCUUCUUGGAGUUGCCAUCCGAGUUAAGGACAUAUAGUUAGGAUAGCCGGGGUACACGAGGUAGGUAGGUUUGAACAAAGUUGUAUUUUGCUUUCGGAACAAAUGAACUAGGCAGCCUGUGAUGUAGGUUACAUUGUUGUUUACGGACGAGUUGGUAUAACACAUUAAUUUAGGUUAGGUUGUGUUUGUUGAAGCAGUGUCUAACCCAUAUCACCAGAUUAACUAACAUGUUAAUAACUUACUUUUGAUUGGAUCAUAUUGGAUUAGAUGGUGAUCUAGAUUAGAUUGGUUAUAACUAGAUUAGACUAAACAAUAUCUAAUUACUUUGGAUUAGACCAUGGUGGUUACACGAGUGUGGGAUAAAUAUGCUUAUUAGGGCAAGAUGAAUCCAUAAGGAUAAGGUAGAAUCUUUUGAGGCCAGUUAGAUCUAUUAGGAUGAGAUAAAAUCUUUUCAAGAUAAGAUGAGUCUAUUAAGAUAAGAGAGUAUCUUUUAAGAUAAGAUGGACCAAUUAAGAUAAGAGAAAGUCUUUUAAGAUGAGGGAUCUAUAUAAAAUAGAUACACUUUAAUGGAGGAUAAACCAGGUUGUUUAGUUAUCUUAUGAAUUUUAUUUAUUUAUAUUUAUACCUAUAUGUAUAUGCAGAUGUAAUUGUGGACAUUACUCCACAACUCAUCCCACUCAAUCAAAGAUCCAAAUCAAACAAGUAUCAUAAGAACAAGCAUUCAAGCAUAUAGAUAAAAAAAUAGUUUUGUUUUUUUUCCUAAGAGUAGGUCUCCUAUUCUUAAAAGUCACUUUGGGCACAGGAUUUCGAAGUGUGAAAUCCAAGUUUGUCUUUAGCAGGAAAAGGUAAGAAUAAUCAGAGUAAAGCGGAAAUAGAUGAGAAAAGAUUAAGAUAAGUUUAGAAAAGAAUCAGAGUAAGGUAAGUAGAUAAUGGUUGUCUAGUUCUAUCUAGGUUUCGUCCUAUAGUCAACAUCCCUCUGAUACCACUUCUGUCACACCCGGGUUUUAGGGACACCAAGACCCGGGCGCGAACAUAAACACCAGAUAUGCUGGGACCAAGUCUCACACAUAUGAUGUAUAGUGGCACAGGAUCGAAUGUCACAUCUUUAUAUAUAACAGGAGUUCUAUACAAAAUAAAUAAUUACAAUAUAAGGAGACAACGGUCCAGCAACCCAAAGUUGACUGGGAGACGACGGCCUAGACCUCUCACGAACACAUCGCAGCAUCCUCCAAGCGCCUCAUCCUGCGGUACCUGUUCUUGACCUGUGGGGGUGUGAGACAGCAAGAGUGAGCUCACAUACGUUCAUCGCUCAACAAGUUGUGGGGAAUAAUGUGUAUGAACUCGCCAAAGGUGGGAGCUCAUGUGAAGUGUAAGGCUUACCAAAGAGGAUGGCUGAAGCUGAGCAUUGCUUUUAAAGUUGGUCAAAAUUUUAUUAGCCAUUACUAAGUAUAAGUAAAUACCAACCCAAUUAAAUAGUAGAACAGAAGUAACAACAUCACCUGCGAUGCAAUGCAUAUGACAAAUUGAAUUUAAGUUCCAUAGAUUAAUCAUGUGAGUGUCCGAGCUGCUCAUGACCGUGAGCACGGCUAGUAUACCAGUUUUACACUCUGCAGAGGUUGCGCAUCUUUACCCACAAGUCAUGUUACCCAUCUGCCAAGGGAUCGCGACUUCCCAUACACCUCUACCGAGGAGGCGAGGCAGGGUAACACUACGAGGCCUUUACAAAGUUCCACUAGCUUCAGAAAACCCGCUACAGUUUAUAGGAAGCUCCAAUGCAGGAAUCCCUUGCAGGACCGCCAUCGCAGCAAAAUCCUCCCGAGGGCCUCCCUACACUGACCACUCCCCUACUGCCCUUGCCCCUUUCGGGUAAGGUAGUCUUCCACUAGCUUUCCUAAUUAAUCGGCCAAGGGCGUCCCAUUAAACCCUUGUGGUAGCACUGUUUUCCCGGGUGGUUCUCCAUGUUCCAAUUAACAUAAUGAUCUUAUCAUGAACAGUAAAUAGCAACUGAUAACAAAAGUAUGAAUAAUAUGUAUCUCAAUGCCCAAAUCCACAUAUAGCACUAGCAAGUACUACCCAGAAAGUUUAGUGGUAAACAAGGCAUAAAGAUAGACAAACUAGGGUAACCUAUUAGGUCCCAUCAAAUUAACCUAUGCAGAUCAUUAUGAUUAAUUAGAACAUGAGUGGGUAAAAGAAGUGAUCAAGGGCACAACUUGCCUGGGACUUGAGAUUCCAGGUACCAGGAUGAUCUUCAGGUGACUCGUGACCUCACGCUAGUCGUAGCAAUACAAACAAAUACGGUAUAGGCAAAAUUAACAUCACACCAAACAUGAGAACAAACUGCAUAAUAAUAAUGUACGCGUUGCUAUGAGACUAACGCAACUUGAAUGGAUCAAAUCAGAUUUAAAACGGAGGAGUUAUGAUUUUCUGAAGAUUCUGUGUGUUUUGUAUAAGAUUAAAUGGGAUAUAAAUUUUAAUGUGACUUUCAUGUCAAAACAGUGGUACUAGAUGAUAUACAAUAAUAUUACAAAAUUAUAGGAAUUGGAACGGAUUAAUUUGGGCUUAAUAUGAAUUUUCUAUGAAUUUAUCAAGUUCUAGUAAUUAUUUUCAUAUUAAAAAUCCAUUUAUAAAUUAUUUUCUCUGAUUUACCUAGUCCUCGGACUGCGUGCGUCAAUACACAGAAAACCAGGGGCUAGCGCAAAAAGUACCCAAGGCUCAGGACCUACCCGCGGUGGAUUGCGGGUUAUUUUUCUAGAAACCGAGGGUUCUAUUUGCAAGGUGGCGCGACCGAAGGGGUAUCCUAAGCUCCCAACCGUUGGAUCGGAUCCGAGGGACCAGAUUAGUUUGCGUUGCGGUAAGUGAUGAAGCGAUCCUAACCGUUGGUAUCUGGAUCCACGGCCUGAAAUCACCCACGCCAAAAAUCUCACCCAAACCGAUCGAUCGCAAUCCAAAGGUUCCUGUUAUCUCUAUCCAAAGCGUUACGCAUGAUAUAAUCUCGGCCGCCCAUUCAGAUCUAACGGUCUCCGAGCCCACAGCCGAUCCGGUUCGGUAUGACUUAAUCUAGGCCGUUCAUCGCGGAGUCAAGGGCCACCGCAUCGCCCCCAACCACACCCCGGCUGAGCAGAGCAGCGACGCCCGAGCUCCCGACGGCGCAUCGCUGGAGCGGCUUCAAUCCGGCGCCCUGACGCGCCAUACCCGAAAUCGCAUAGUGCAAAACAGUGUAUAGAUUAAGGCGGAACACAGGGAGUAGCCCUUACCGGCGAUAGUGGCGCAGGACUCACCACCCACAUGGAUAGGCGAUCCACGGUGGUGAUUCAGCUCCGACGAGCAAUGGCGGUGGCGGCUCCAAGUCCUCUGUGCUCUCGGUGCCGUGUUUGAAUGCGAGGACCAGGGGGUCGCAAGCAUGGUUUAUAUCGCCUCAAGGAUUCGUGAUGGCCGACGGAUUACGCGGAGCCCAACCACCUAGCAAACGCGCGAAGGUCGGUGAUGGCGGAGUCCGAUUUGCCGGGGAUCUCGGCGAGCAGUUGGGGAAAGAUGGAGCUGACGCCCUGGGCCCACAAAGCACGGAUGACGGAGGGUUGUUGGGGGAAGAAGUUGUUACGUGCCCAGAUUCCAGAAGCACGAGGCGAGCACACGCAAAACCACCAAUCGAGAUUCCGUUGAGAUCUCCAUGGAAAUAAUCUGGAGAAGGGAGCCAUGAGCGCUGGGCAAGCGGAUGGGUCUAACAGGCAUACCCCGAGGUCACGGGAGAAUCCAAACGGACUCCCCGGCGGUCAGUGAGCUAAUCCCGGGCUUCCCGGAACAGUCCGCGCGGAGGUGCGCUCCGGCCAUCUCGGCCGGUUUGUUUGCAACCACCACGCGCAGCGGAGGGGAUAGGCCUGACAUGCAGGGCCCACCGGCAGCGAAAGCUUGUUGGACGGGGGUGGGAUUGGAGUGAGGCUGGCAGUAGCGGCCCACCGGUCAGUGAGGCAGACAAAUGUCGCGUGACAGCAAGGGAAAGGAGAGGAGGGCGGGAGCAGGCCGGUCCAGAAGAGAGGUAAGAUUGGGCCGAAUUCGGACCCAGAGGCACAAGGCUAGUGUUAUCCCCAUUUCUUUUUCUUUUCUAUUAUCUUUUCUAUUUCUAUUUCAGAUAUCACAUUCAAAUUCAAAUCCCUGUUUAUAUUUUAGGAUUUCAACUUUCAAUCUAUAAUUCUAAUGUAAAGAUGAAUCCUAUUUCCAUUAUUAUUUAUUAUUCUACCUAUUAUUUAGUUACAAAUGGCUUGAUUAGGAUUUCCUUUCUUAUUUUCUAUUUUAUAUUUUCAUUUAUGAGUUGAGGCCAAAUUAAGUUAUGAUUUUCUUUAUUCAAAUAAAAUGCAUUACAAAAAUAACAUGAGCAUGGGAUGCACUUUCAUUUAUUUAAUUAUUGGUCACUUGACUAUUUUACUAUCUUAAUUGAUUACAAAAGAAAAGGUCCUAAUAAUUUUCAAAGGUGACAAAAAAAUUCUAGAAUUACUAUCAUAAGUAUAUUUUUAUUUUUCUUCUUUAUUUCAUUAUUUUUUUCCUUGUUACCGAUUUUGGGCUUCACACGACGCCACCAUGAUCACCAAAAUGGAGUUGGUGGAAGGCGAGCUGGGAAGAUUCGCAAUGAUCAGGGGAGAGGAACCAACACAAACCUACAACAGGCUCAAGACCCUGGUCAACAAGAUUCGAAGCUAUGGAAGCACAAGAUGGACGGACCAUGACGUUGUCCAACUCAUGCUAAGGUCAUUUACUGUAAUUGACCCCUAUCUUGUAAAUCUUAUUCGUGAAAAUCUUAGGUACACCAAAAUGACGCCUGAAGAGAUCCUCGGAAAAUUCGAGAGCGGGCGUAUGAUGGUAAAGGAGGCUCGAUACGUGGACGAUGCACUCAACGGUCCACUACCCGUCUAUGAGCAACAACCCUUUGCUCUCAAAGCAACCAGCAGCAAGGAGACACUACCAAGCAAGGUGGCACAAGUAGAAGCUACCGAGCUAAAUGAAGAUGAAAUGACGCUUAUCAUCAAGCGCUUCAAGAAUACACUUAAAGGACGCAAGGAGUACCCCAACAAGAAUAAAACAAAGGGAAAGCAUUAAUGCUUCAAAUGCGGUAAGACUUGUCACUUUAUUGCCCAAUGUCCCGAUAAUGAUCAUGACCAGGGACAAGAAAAAGGUGGGAAGAGGGAGAAAAAGAAAAACUACAGGAAGGCAAAGGGCGAGGCGCACCUUGGAAAGGAAUGGGAUUCGGAUUGCUCCUCUUCUGACUCCGAUGAUGAAGGAUUAGCUGCCUCGGCUUUCGACAAAUCUUCAAUCUUCCCCCAACGAACGCCAUACGUGUCUCAUGGCCAAGGAGAAGAAGGUAAGUAUUUGAGAUACACAUAAGUAUUCUUCUUCUAGUGAUGAGGAUUCUUCCGAUGAUGAAGUAGAUUACUCUGGCUUAUUUAAAGGUUUAGAUAGAGCCAAAGUUGAGAAAAUUAAUGAAUUAAUUGAUGCUCUAAAUGAAAAAGAUAAACUGCUAGAAAAGCAAGAGGAUAUUUUGUAUGAGGAACAUGACAAAUUUGUUAGUGUACAAAAAACUCUUGCUUUAGAAACUAAGUGAAAUGAAAUGUUGUCUUCUGAGUUAUCUGCUUGCCAUGAAACUGUCUCUAGUUUAAAGAAAUUAAAUGAUGAAUUAAAUGCAAAGCUAGAAGAAGUAAAUAAAGCUAGUUCAUGUGUAGAGCAUGUUGUUAUUUGUAAUAGAUGUAAGGACUUUGAUGUUGAUGUUUGUAAUAAACACCUUAUUUCUAUUGCUCAAUUAAACGAUGAGGUGGCAAGUCUUAAUGCUCAACUUAAGACUUGCAAGGUUGAUUUUGAUAAGUUAAAAUUUGCUAGGGAUGCCUACACCGUUGAUAGGCACCCCUCAAUUAAGGAUGUGCUUGGUUUUCGAAAGAAAGCCAAGAACUUAACAAGUCAAAGGACUCCCAUUCUCAACAAGGAGAAAGGGAAGGCCCUAUGGCUAGUAGUCCUCAAAGGAACCAUGCCUUUAUUUAUGAUAGGAAAAUUGCUAGUCGCACUCAUUACAAUAGGAGUUAUGAUCAUGUUGCUUAUAACUCACAUGCUAUGUUUACCUCUAGUUCUACUUCUAUUCAUGGUAAAAGUAGGCCUAGGAGAAAUCAUGUUGUGUCUCAUACUCCUAGAAAAAUGUGCAAUGGACCUUCUACUAUUUACCAUGCUUGUAAUGCUUCUUUUGUUCUUUCAUGUAGAAAUGCAAAAGUAGUAGCUAGAAAAUUGGGAUCCAAAUGCAAGGGAGACAAGACUUGUACUUGGGUUCCAAAAGUUAUUGUGACUAACCUUGCAGGACCCAACAAGAGUUGGGUACCUAAAACCCAAGCUUAAAUUCCUUACAGGUUUAUGCAUCCGGGGGCUCAAGCUGGAUUAUCGACAGCGGAUGCACAAACCACAUGACGGGGUAGAAGAAGAUGUUCACCUCCUACGUCAAGAACAAGGAUUCUCAGGAUACGAUCAUCUUUGGAGAUGGGAACCAAGGCAAGGUCAAAGGCUUGGGCAAGAUAGCCAUCACCAACAAGAACUCCAUAUCAAAUGUAUUUCUAGUAGAGUCGCUUAGUUACAACCUUCUGUCUGUAAGUCAAUUGUGUCACAUGGGUUAUAAUUGUCUUUUUACAAACGUUGAUGUAUCUGUCUUUAGAAGGAGUGAUGGUUCAUUAGCUUUUAAGGGUGUAUUAAACGACAAACUCUACUUAGUUGAUUUUUUGAAAGAGGAGGUCGAUCUAGAUGCAUGCUUAAUAGCUAAGACUAGUAUGGGUUGGCUGUGGCAUCGCCGUCAGCACAUGUUGGGAUGAAGAAUCUUCAUAAACUUUUAAAGGGAGAACAUGUGUUAGGACUAACCAAUGUUUGUUUCGAUAAAGUUAGGCCUUGUGAAGCAUGUCAGGCAGGGAAACAGGUGGGAAGCACUCAUCAUAGCAAGAAUGUGAUGACAACAUAAAGACCACCGGAGCUUCUUCACAUGGACCUCUUCGGACCCGUUGCCUACCUUAGCAUCGGGGGGAAGUAAGUAUGGUCUUGUAAUUAUUGAUGAUUUUUCCCGCUUCACUUGGGUGUUCUUUUUGCAGGAUAAAUCAGAAACCCAAGGGAUCCUAAAGCGCUUUAUAAGGAGGGCUCAAAACGAAUUUGAGCUAAAGGUGAAAAAGAUAAGGAGCGACAACGGGUCCGAGUUCAAGAAUCUGCAUGUUGAGGAGUAUCUAGAGGAGAAAGGCGUCAAGCACGAGUUCUCCGCUCCCUACACACCACAGCAAAACGGUGUGGUAGAGAGGAAGAACAGGACGCUUAUCGACAUGGCGAGAACGAUGCUUGGAGAGUUCAAGACGCUCGAGCGGUUUUGGUCGGAAGCUGUGAACACAACUUGCCACGCCAUAAACCGGCUCUAUCUGCAUCGCCUUCUCAAGAAGACCUCCUACGAACUCCUUACCAGUAACAAACCCAACGUCUCCUACUUUUGUGUAUUUGGGAGCAAAUGUUACAUUCUGGUAAAGAAAGGUAGUGUCAGUGUUUUGGGUCCGACCGCGCACCCAGGGUUGCCCUUUAAGGUGCUUUUUGGAGUAGGACGGUGUUAUCGACUGUAGCUCGAUGGUUCGUGCCAGAUGCACGAGAGACAGUAGACAAUCUUGUACAAGUUCGGGCCGCUUUGAGAUGCAUAACACCCUAUGUCCUGGUGUGGAUCUUUUAUGUGGCGGGUUAUAGGGGAGUUCUCUAGUAUGAGGGACGCUAGAGAGCUGAGUAGAUGGCUAAAAUGAGUGAGAUGUUGUUUGAGGGGGUGCCCCCUAGGCAUUAUAUACUCGACCGUAGGGCGUUACAUGCAGAUAUGAUAACAACGUGCGCCUAAGUAAUAGUGAACCAACUGAGCUUAUCUUCCUAUAAUCCUGCCGACUUAUCAUCAUUCAGUUCCGACGUUCGAGGGCGCUGCGCGGGAAAAUCGGAUCACUGUUGUGGAUAACGUUUGAAUUCAUUGGGCUGCCUUGGCUCGAGUUGAUCCAAUCUUGCGUCGAUCCACUCUGCCAUACAUUCCUCCCCAGGCCCACGGAGGGAUGGCCUUGCGAAACAAUGGGCCCAAGGCCUUUCGCGAGGUCUUCUAGCCUUCUAGUGUACCCGGGGGAUAUCUGUCCCCCACAAGCCCCCAAUCUUUGAGUUCAUUUUGAAAUAAUCGGCCCAAAUAUUCUAGGUCCAGCUUGCAGUUUUGAUUUUUUUAAUGUGGAUGCUUUGACAGUACGCUUGUCAAGUCGUUGCCUCUGAGCUUUGAUCGGUCAGCUUAUGCUUUACAGAUAAGCACUUCAUUUUUUUAAUGUGUGAAGACGCCAAUGGGUGUAGCCCCCGAGCUUUGAGUGGAUUACUGAAGAUAAUUCACUCAAAGGUCUUCAUUUCCUGCUUUUUAGAAGUUGUUGGUUCAUCUUUGUCUUAUGCUUUAGAAACCAGCAUUUCAUCGUCAGUUAAUGCUUUAGAGAUCAGCAUUCUGUCCUCUGGGAUUAAUGAUUCAUUGGGUGCACCGGAGGUGCACUCAAUGGGUGUAGCCCCCGAGCUUUGAGUAGAUUAUUGAAAAUAAUCUACUCAAAGGUCUUCAUCUCACGUUUUUAGAAAUUGUCAUUUUAUCUUCGUCGGAUGCCUUAGAAUUUAGCAUUAUAUCAUCGGUUUUAUGCUUUAGAGAUCAGCAUAUGGUUUUGCCUUUGAGAUCAGUAAUGUGGUCUACCCAUGUCCUGUUAGGUUUGAAAUUUAUUUGAUCGGCGACAGAUUGGACGUCCGAUAGACGGCUCUUUGGCUGGUCUUUAUUUCGCUUCGUGCUUCAAUGCUUCUGUUGAUUAGACUUGUACUUCAGCAGCUAUUUUUGGCUUUCCUCUGAUCUAUAUCGAUAUCUUUCUUCUGUCUUAAUACAUUCAUUGUGUAUACUAUAUGGAUGUGACUGCUUGGAAAAAUCUAUUGAAAAUUCCUGAACGUCCCUCCCAAUGGGUGUAGCCAGGGGACGGGUUGGUGCACUGAGCGUUUAGCAAACUGCCUCUGAGUAGUAACUUUACGUGACCGCGGGGUGUAAUCAUAUCGUCCAAGCAGUUGACUUCAGUCCCAAUGGGUGUCGUGUUACGUGAAACGAUGUCUACUACCUGACUUGUUUCCAGACGAUUUGAAUGGCUUCUUGAAUAUUUGCGACUGUUCGGUGACCGUGGUAGGAGAUGAGCGGUUGCCUUCUUCCUCUAUAAAUAGACCGCUUGCUUCACUGGCGUCUUCACACAUCUCUCUACCAUUUGUUGCUUAUUCUCCUCUUUUCUCUUCAUUUCUACUCAAACAUGGGAAAGAGCAAGAAAGGCGGAAGUUCGUCGCACCACUCUGGCGACAAGCGGAAGCGUGAGCCGUGCCCUCCCUCGGAGGACUUCGGCGAUUCCGAGUACUCGGAGGAGGAGUUUUCCUCCGAGUCCGAGGGGUCGCCGGUCUACACCUCUCCCCCGGCAUCGUCCGAUGACUCGUACGAUUCCCUGGGGAUUGCCGCCGAGGUGUGGACAUACAUCUGGGUUGUCGAGCGCUCCGGGCUCGAGGGCUCGGAUGAGUCGGAGGUCUCCUCGGACGAGGAGAACUCCUCUGACUCAUCCGAGGAGGAGAGCGGCGGUGACGGCGACGACGAGGGCGACGGCGGCGACGGAGGCGACGGUGAUGGUGACGGCGACGGUGGCGACGGCAAGAGCGGCAGAGGCAGCAGCAAGGCCAGUGGCAAAGCGCCACUAGCUUAAAUGUUAGUAUAGAUAAAUAGUAGUAGAAGUAGUAUUAGUGGAAUAAUGUAGUAGUAGUUAGUAGUAUAGUGUAGUGUAGGCAGUAAUGUAAUGUAGUAAUGUAAUGUAUCGAAAAAUGGGAAGAAGACCGGCUCAUAAUGAGUCGGUCUUUGAGUUUGUGGAAGGACUUCUCCCUUUAUAUAAUAAAGAAAACUUCAGCUUUUUUUGUGCAUAUCUUUUGCCUUUUCAUUGUUCCUUUAUAGUUGAUCGACAGCUUGUAUUUGUGCCCAACACAGUCGUUGUUCUCAGAGAUAACGCUCAAGUAACAACUUGUAAUUGUUGUGUCGUAUUGAAUUCUGCCUACAUUUUCGUAGAGAAAAAACGGCUGGGUUACUGCUGGUGUCUUCAGAGGUAACAGUCGAAUUAUGCUAGAUUGCAUCGGUGUUUUAGAAGCAAUAGCCGAGUUAUGCUGGGCUAUGCCGGUGUUUUAAAAGUAACAACCGAGUGGUGCUUGGCGACGUCAGCGUUUUUAGAGGUAACAGCCGAGUCAUGCUGAGCCACGUCGGCGUUUUAGAAAUAACAGUCGAGUGGUGCUUGGCGACGUCGACGUUUUAGAGGUAACAGCCGACUCAUAUCGAGCCACGUCGGUGUUUUAGAAAUAACGGUCGAGUGGUGACUAAGCACUUUUUAGAAACGGUGUCUGACCCGGGAAAACCCCAUUUAUAUCACGUCGCCGCACGCCUCUGUGUUCUGAGCCCUAGCCUCAACUUUUUGCCUUCGAACAUCCUAUGUUUCCCUUUGAUUUUGCUUCCGCUCAGUCCACCGACGAGAUUGCGAUGGCGCCCAAGCAGAAGAACCAGAAUUUUGCUACUGUGGUCAUUCCUCCUAUCGAUCUCAAUAGCGAGUUGCCUUUCGCAAGUAAUCACAUGUCUGUUGUUUUCAAGUCGGAUCUUCUCCACCUUGUCGAUGUCAGAGUUCUUUCUCCGAAGGAGCUUUGCUCUUGGCGGAUUUGCCAUGGGGUUACUGUCCCGACAGAAGAUACUCACGGGUCCGUUGUUUACAUCCCUUUUCUUAUCCGCGGCCUUGCUCUUCCCAUUUCUCCCUUCUUUCGCGGUCUCCUUGACUUUUACAAUCUGAAUCUGACUCACCUGAAUCUCAACUCUAUUCUGCAAAUUUUCGUCUUUGUUCAUCUGUGUGAGGCCUACCUUGGAAUUCUUUCUCACUUCGGCUUGUGGAAGUAUUUGUGUCACUGUCGUCCUGGGAUGGCUGGGGGGCAGCACCAGCUCGUGGGCGGUGCGAGUCUGGAGAUGCGUCGUGAGAGGAAAACAGAAUACCUUGAUAUCCCACUUAAGGAUAGCAUUAAAGGAUGGCGUUUAGAGUGGUUCAUUGUGAAAAACCAUGGCAAGUCCCUCCCCCCCCUCGGUUAGGGAGACAGCUGGAUGUUCGCACUCCAAGUUGGAUUGAGUCUCCUACAGACUUGGAGAUAACAGAAGCCAAGGUUCUGCUUACUGAAAUUUGUUUGCUGAAGGAGAGAGGUCUGACCGCUGAAGUUGUGGUUGCAGAUUUUGUUUUUAAGAAUAUUCAACCACUGAAGGACAGAGCAUACCUGGUUUAUUUGUACACUGGUGUCACCGACUCAACCCGGGUUACCAACAAGAGGAUUCCUGCUUUGGAUUUGGUGAGCCGACUGGAGAUGAUCUUGAGAGGCAAAGUAUCAAAUAUUGGUGCUCCUAUUGCAUAUUCUGCUUGGAAUCUGCCACCUUCUAAGUCCUUUUUCAAUUUUGUGUCCAAUCCUCCUGCUGGUGAUAGUGGUUUGGGUCUUAGAGUGUGACCCUCUUUCGAAGAUGUUGAGGUCCUGGUUGCUUCACUUGGUGAUCUU